UUUCCAAUUAUGAAAGAUUUUAAAAACAAAAAGAAAACGUCCAUCAACAGAACCAAGAAACGUAGCAAAAGCAGCGACGCAGCAGCGCCAGCAGCAGAACAAAUAAGAGUGGGCGAGAACACGAAGAAGAAAACUACGUAAAAUAUUAUUCAAAUGAAUUUUAAUUGAGAUCAACUAAAGUGUAAAAGAAAGAGUAAGAAAAACAACAGUUAAAACUGUGGAAAUUGUAAACGGCACCCGAUUGCCCGUUGUCAUGCAUUUUGCUACACAGCAGCGCCAGCAGCCACAACAACAACAAGAACCACAGUCAACCUCAUCAGCAAUAGCAGCAUCGUCGGCAUCGACAUCGACAUCGACGUCAGCGGCAACGUCACGUUUUGUCGCUCUUUGCAAAUCUUCCAGUCAAGGUGCAUUGCCAAAAUCCUUGGCCACUGCUCAAAGCCACACUCGUCAGCAGCAGCAGCAACAACAACAACAACAAAAACACAAACGCACUGCCAGCUUGAACUCGGCGCCCAUGAUUAAAGAUAUUGAUAUUGAAACAAAUAAAUCGCCGCCUGCUCAUGCUAGCAACAUGUUAGCUGAUAGUCAACCACAGAAUCAGCAACAAGAACAACAAACCCCACAGCAACAUCAGGAACAGCAGCAGCAACAACAACAACAACAACAACAACAACAGCAGCUUGAUAUCCAACAAUUGAAUCCGCAACUGGAACAAAAUGAAACUGAGCUAAAUGAUUAUGACACCGGCGGUGGGGCAGUCGGUGGUGUUGUUGGUGAUAACAAUAAUGAUGGUGGUCAAGAUGAUGCUAGUAAUGCUGCUGAUGCCGCUGACAGGCGCGAAUCCAUCACCGAGGAGAUAACCAUUACAACUACAACAACUAACAACACAUUAGGAACCAAAUUAUUAACCAUACAGGAGGCUAGCAGUGGAGUCAUUGAGAAGAGCACUAUAUCCAUUUCCACAUUGUCUUCCGCAUCUCAGCAACGCUUUGAAUCUGUUGCACCCCACAACAGCAGCAACAACAUUUCCACAAACAGCGGUAGCAGCAGCAACAUAUCCACCACUAGCACCACAACCACCAUCACGAACCCACAAUUAAACACUCCCAGCAUUAAUAUUGUCGUCAGUGAAAAGAAGGAGCAGCAGCAGCAGCUACCACAGCAACAGCAACAACCAUUGCAAUCGCAAAGUGUCGAUUCCAACGGAUUUACCCCGGCAACCACAACAGCUGGUUCUUAUACGGAUAGCCCAAACAGUCGCAAAAGUUCCACCAGCUCAAAAGGCAAACCAACACAAGCCAAGUUAUCCACAUCGAGCAGCGGACGUGAUGAGGACAACCAAAGCAAGCUAAGUGAAGGAGGAGGAGUCAGCAGUGAGGGCAGCACCAAUACAUUUGUGCGUGGCGAUAGCCAACAGCAAGUGAUCAGCAGCUCAACCUCUAACGAUAAGCCAGCUAGCGGCAAGAGCACCUCAAGACUCUCAGAGAGAGCCAAAAAGAAAUCCUGGUAUAACGUUAUCUAUCCCAAUUACAAAUCUCGAGCCGAGGACUUUAAGAAACUCUUCAAAGAGGUGCCAAACGAUGAGCGUUUAAUUGUGGACUACUCGUGUGCCUUGCAGCGAGACAUUUUGGUACAGGGACGUUUGUAUGUGUCACAGAAUUACGUUUGCUUCCACGCCAAUAUCUUUAGUUGGGAGACCUACUUGACAAUUAAAUGGAGAGAUGUCACAGCCAUAACUAAAGAGAAAACAGCUUUGGUUAUACCCAAUGCCAUAUCGAUUGCCACAGCCAAGGAGAAAUAUUUUUUUGCCACAUUUGCGGCACGCGACAAGUCAUUUUUGAUGCUCUUUCGUGUCUGGCAGAAUACAUUGAUGAAUAAACCGUUUUCACCACAAGAGAUUUGGAAAUAUGUGCACAAUUGUUACGGUGAAGAACUUGGUUUAACCACAGAUGAUGAGGAUUAUAUAGACCCCACACUGGAUAAUGAUAAUGAAACUGAUUUAGACUUACAAUCGGCUGUUGAUGAUUAUCAGGGACAAAUACAGCUACUACCACAGCAACAGCAGCAGCAACAGAGUGGAAACAGUAGUGCCAGCAGCGCCAGUGGAGGAAGUGCAGCACUAUCAUCAUCAUCGGUGACAGCAGCUGCGCCACGCAAAUCAAAAACCAAAUACUUUUUUAACUCAUCGAAAUCUUCGAAUUUAAAUUCAUCGGCCAACGCCUCAGCCAGUGGAUCUGAUAACCAAAAGGCCGAUAAUACACGCAAAUCGAAUAAGAAAAUGAAAACCAAUGCCAAGGAGCUCACCCUGAGCUCAGUUAAGCCUGCCGAACAAACGGUGGGCGUCACAUUAUCCACUCAUUCCUCCACAUCAGCAGCUUCCUCUACAGCGGCCACAACCACGACACUCACAAAUAGCAGCAGCAACACAGCCACUGGGGCAGCAGCAGCCACUAGCCACACAGCCAGCAGUAGUGCUGAUAAAAGGAACGUGGAUAAAGUUAGCAGUAGUACAAGUGUCAGCACUAUCACUGCUCCAUCGGUGGAAUCCUCAAAUAAACGUAAAUUGAGUAAAAAUCAGAGGCAGCAACGUGAAGUGGAAUUAGCUGGUAAAAACGCUUCCGAAGCAGCACCCACUGAUGUCUCGGAUUCAUCCGAUUCUGAGGAGAACAAUGUGCCAUUCGUACCCACCACCGAAUGCACAUCCACACACGAGGGACGACAAAUUGUUCAUACUAUAUUGCCCAUCAGUGUGGAUACAUUGUUUAACCUUUUGUUCUCCAAAUCCAAAUUCAUAACGGACUUCCAUGCCAUGCGAAAGUCGACAGAUUUGAUUUUAGGUGAAUGGUCCAAGAAUGAUGAAGGUCAAAAUGUGCGUGUGGUAAAUGUAACCGUGCAAUUGGCUGCCUCUGUUGGGCCCAAAACAUCCAAGGUAACUGAAUACCAAACAAUGCGGGAAUGCAGCAAACCGGGUGAACUUUAUUCCAUAGAUGUAAAUAGUGUUAAUGCAGGCAUUCCAUAUGCGGAUAGCUUCAGUGUGCUUAUACAUUUCUGUUUGGCAAGGACUGUCGACGAUCAUACUAUGCUCUCAAUACACGCUCAAAUCAAAUAUAAGAAAUCCAUUUGGGGUGUUGUUAAGGGUUUCAUUGAGAAGAAUACUUGGGCCGGCUUGGAGGAUUUCUUUGGUUCCCAAUUGCAUGCCCUUCAGAGUGAGACUUGUAUACCACCGGCCAAGGGUAAAGGACGCCGACCCAGACGUGGCUUAAAUCAACAACAUCAACAACAACUACAAUCAGAUACCACUGCGACCACAGCAGCCAGCAACAGUACGGACAAUGACAGCAUACGAGAGCAAUAUCAACAUUCUCAUCCAUAUGCACAUCCUCACCAGCCUCCACUGCAUCAGCACCAAUCCACCAAUCAUCAGCACCAGCAUUUGCAUAUGCAUCAUCAUCACCAUCAUCAUCAUCUCCAUCGUCAAUCAUCAUCGCCGCAGCAGCAUGCACAUUGGCAACAUCGUAAGGCCAUAUUUCAGUCAAGUAAAGGUACUGCCACACAAGUACGACCCUUGGAGGAAGCAACGGGCAGCACGGCACAAAUUAAUGACACUCUGGAGUCACAAUUAUUGUCUGGUGGCGGCGUCUCUUCCACCUCGGCGUCUGCUGUGUCGGCUGCUGAUGGCUUGAUGCAUGAGGGCAAACUCCAAAAACUGGGUGGCCAUCAUCAUCACCAUCAUCUCCAUCAGCAGCAGCAGCAUUUAAGCGGAAGUUGCGCCGCAGGGGCAAUGGGAGGCGUCGCCCUGGCCAUGGGCCAAGGACAAAACGGAUUCAGACACAAGGGAUUGUCAUUGUUUGUUAUACUGUUGAUGUGCUUACUGCUGGCAUUAAAUGUGAUAUUAUUACUUAAGCUCUGGAAGCUGGAAGAACGGAUUGAUGUGGAUCUCACACGGCGGGCGCGAAUGCCCAGUUUGGCAGCCUUAAAGGAAUUGCCCAAUACAAAUCAGGAUUGGUUAGAGCUUUUGCACCAGCAGGAAAUAUCCCAUGAAAGCGAAUUACGCAAAUGGCAUCAAGUUCUGCAAACUGCCAUCGAAUUGUUGAAGAAGGUGAGCAUUGUCUGCGAAAAGAUCUACAAUGAUGGCCAGCUGCGUCAUAGCAUUGAGUCACUGUCUAAUGCAAUGCAUAGUGAAUUUUAACACACGAAUGGAAGGAUAUUUGUAUUAGCCUCGCACAGUUGCGAAAAUUGUUGGAUCUCGUAUAGAUAGAUAGAAAUGCAGUAAACAGUCAAGAGUAGUCGCAUCAAUUGUUGAAUGUGAAGACUGAAAAAACCUUGGCCGAGGUCAUGUUUCACUAAAACAGCGGCUAUGAAAUAGAACUAAUCAAUGACCGAUCCUAACCACGCCCAAAUAAGGAUAAAUAAUUUCACUAAAAGUAAUAAGCUAACAAAAAGCCACCAAAAAUUAAUAAUUGAAUUCAAAAUUCAACUAAAAUCACUUACAAAAUUUAGUCACAAAAACAAUUUCUACGUUUUAUAGAUUUUAAGUAAAAGAAAAGUUGUAAUUUUGUAUACCUAGCUGCAUUUGAUUUUAAGUUGGUAUUAUAUCUACAUAUAUAUAUAUACUUAUAUUAUUUUGCCUGAUCCACAAAGCAUUUAUGUUAACCGUAACACAAAAUUUACAAACAGCAAAAACACCCAAAAUAACAAAACAGGAG
Drosophila willistoni is the source of this 4709-nucleotide RNA transcript. It is a transcript of the gene named membrane-anchored lipid-binding protein YSP2, with no coding region annotated. The record is from RefSeq and is a predicted model, not a curated record. The transcript is spliced from 12 exons. NCBI's taxonomy places the organism in Eukaryota, Metazoa, Arthropoda, Insecta, Diptera, Drosophilidae.